Molecule: ribosomal RNA, 225 nt
Filed under: Enterobacter hormaechei
Lineage: Bacteria; Pseudomonadati; Pseudomonadota; Gammaproteobacteria; Enterobacterales; Enterobacteriaceae
Also listed under: 11 other names
Description: partial 23S ribosomal RNA
Rfam family: Bacterial large subunit ribosomal RNA
Source: RNAcentral
GGUUAAGCGACUAAGCGUACACGGUGGAUGCCCUGGCAGUCAGAGGCGAUGAAGGACGUGCUAAUCUGCGAAAAGCGCCGGCGAGGUGAUAUGAACCUUUGACCCGGCGAUGUCCGAAUGGGGAAACCCAGUGUGUUCCGACACACUAUCGUUAACUGAAUACAUAGGUUAACGAGGCGAACCGGGGGAACUGAAACAUCUAAGUACCCCGAGGAAAAGAAAUCA